This 372-nucleotide ribosomal RNA is filed under the name uncultured organism. RNAcentral describes it as "partial 16S ribosomal RNA". It matches the Rfam family "Bacterial small subunit ribosomal RNA", at positions 527 to 896 of the family's 1533-position model. The record is from RNAcentral.
GUAGGUGGCAAGCGUUAUCCGGAAUUAUUGGGCGUAAAGCGCGCGUAGGCGGUUUUUUAAGUCUGAUGUGAAAGCCCACGGCUCAACCGUGGAGGGUCAUUGGAAACUGGAAAACUUGAGUGCAGAAGAGGAAAGUGGAAUUCCAUGUGUAGCGGUGAAAUGCGCAGAGAUAUGGAGGAACACCAGUGGCGAAGGCGACUUUCUGGUCUGUAACUGACGCUGAUGUGCGAAAGCGUGGGGGGAUCAAACAGGAUUAGAUACCCUGGUAGUCCACGCCGUAAACGAUGAGUGCUAAGUGUUAGGGGGUUUCCGCCCCUUAGUGCUGCAGCUAACGCAUUAAGCACUCCGCCUGGGAGUACGACCGCAAGGUUG